Cucumis melo (muskmelon) is the source of this 1810-nucleotide RNA transcript. RefSeq lists it as uncharacterized. The transcript has 3 exons. The record is from RefSeq and is a predicted model, not a curated record. NCBI's taxonomy places the organism in Eukaryota, Viridiplantae, Streptophyta, Magnoliopsida, Cucurbitales, Cucurbitaceae.
AAAAGAAAAAAAAGAAAGAAAGAUAUUUACUUCUGUUGAAAUGGGAUGGAGAUAUGAGGGGGAAAGUCCGAUAGUCUGAGGGGAAACAAUCUGUUCCGAUUUUCCUGAGAGAUUUGAGGAAUCCCAAUUUCUUCUUUUGAAUUUUGAAAUCAACAGAUUUUUCCAUUUUCAGUUUGAGUCGCAAUCUUCGAUUUUUCUUAUCCGCAACCAAUCUGUUGAAAUCAAAUAAAUUUAUUUUUGUUGUUGUGUUUCGUAUUUUUUUGGAGCAACAACUGAUAUUAUUCUCAGACUGAGAUAAGAUUCUGAUUAUGUUUUGGCCUGAAAGUGACUAUAUUUAGCUUUUGUUAAGUAAAGUUUGUUUUGAUGUUUUCUGGGUUCCGCAUAUGAGAAACUUCGUUUCCAUUUGUAGCGAUUGAUGAGAAAAUCGGGUUUAAUCAUAUGAUAUGAAGCAUAUCCUUAGUUGACCGAAACUGGUUUUGAGUAAUUGGAGAAGAGAUUUUGGAGAAUUUUCUUUUUCCCUUAGCCAAUCGUACUCCAGAAUUCUUAAAGUUUGGACUUUCUUAUUGAUCGUUCGAGAAAUUGAUAAGAGUUUUCCUAGUUUUUUCUUUUACUACAUAUAUAUUUUCAUUUUCCAUAUGGAGAUUACUGCAUCAAACAAGUGCCAUCUGCCACUUCUUUCCAUUUUGAGAGUCUACCUGCAAAUUCUUUAGGGAAAUCCUCUUAUUUUCCGUAAACAAAAUUUCCCCCAAAAGUGUUUUUCACUCAUCUAGAGUAGAACCGAUGGCCGUGUCAUUAAGCCGUUUUUCAUUAUGGUUUUGGAACGGGAAGGAGAAAGAGACAGUUGCAAAUGGGUCGACCCCAAAUUCUUCAUCUGAGUUCGGUACUGGUCUGAGAGAACCGGAGAGUCUUAAGUUCAAGAGGGUGGACUUGCCUUCUUCAUCAAAGAAAGUCAAUAAGCAGAAAUGGCAAAGUAAGAAAGAAACAAGGAUUGAGUGGGAAUACGAUUUUGUGAUGGUACCAUCUGGCGGUGAUGACAUGCAAAUGUCUGAUUCUGGUGACGAGGCUGAUUGGUCUAUUGGUUGGUUGGAGCCUCAUGGUCCCGGUUUUCAGAGUGAUGAUAGUUUUGCUGUUUUGGUCCCUUCCUAUAGCAAUCGUUGCAAGGAGGUGGUGGAGGGUUCGAACGUGGAGCUUUUGGCUGCCAUUAAAAAACUUCAAAAUGAAUUCUCACCUGGUCUCUUGGUUAUCUUUUGUGUGCAUUGCAUGAAUUACUCCACUAAAUUUCAUGAUUUGAAGGAAGCAACAUCAGACAACUUUUGCAUGAUGACACCAAGUGUAUCAUUGUACAACUAAAAUGAAAAAUCAUGGUACUAAGGAAACAUGUCGUGGUGGCAGCUGGUCAGACGUAGGGUGAUAGAUUAACAGCCAAAUUUCUCCUCUUUGAUGUGCUUUUUGAGAGCAAGAAGUAUAUGGAGCUAUGGCUUUCUUCGCUGCAAAACUCGGUAGCCUGAAGUACUCUAGGUGACAACGCUUCGCUGAUGCUCAUUACCCAAAGUUUAGUAUCUUACAGACUAGCAGUUUAUAAAAUAGAAUAACAGACCUAAGUUUUGUUUUGUGCAUAUCAAGAUCUUGCUUUCCAUGCUCCUGUUUUGCAUACAUAAAUUUGAUUGACAAUCUGGAAAUCAUUGGAAAGGGGAUUUUCUUUCUUUUUAUUUUUGUUUUCGUUCACCCCAUAUUGUAUACACUAUAUGGUAUACAGUCCAUAUACUAACUACUACCGUUUUUUUUUGUCCUAUUUCCUAUAAUUAUCUCU